Molecule: long non-coding RNA, 226 nt
Organism: Boleophthalmus pectinirostris (great blue-spotted mudskipper)
Lineage: Eukaryota; Metazoa; Chordata; Actinopteri; Gobiiformes; Gobiidae
Exons: 3
Source: RefSeq, a predicted model, not a curated record
GGGCAACCGACACCAUCUUUGACCGCACCGCACCGCACUGAACUGCAAACACUGAAAAUCUGCAAAUAAAAGAAAUCAAACGAACAACGGACUACGGCCGAAGGCUGCUGUUUACUUUUGUUGCGGUUUGGUGAAUGGCUGUGCUCUGUGCACCCCGGGGCCCCUCCUCCUCCUCUGUGCCCUAUGUGAGAAAAUGGGGAGCAGGAAUGCACCAUGGGCUGUCUGU